RNAcentral lists this ribosomal RNA (474 nucleotides) under uncultured organism. Its description in RNAcentral is "partial 16S ribosomal RNA". It matches the Rfam family "Bacterial small subunit ribosomal RNA", at positions 333 to 798 of the family's 1533-position model. The record is from RNAcentral.
ACACUCCUACGGGAGGCAGCAGUGGGGAAUUUUGGACAAUGGGCGAAAGCCUGAUCCAGCAAUGCCGCGUGAGUGAAGAAGGCCUUCGGGUUGUAAAGCUCUUUUGUCAGGGAAGAAACGGUGAGAGCUAAUAUCUCUUGCUAAUGACGGUACCUGAAGAAUAAGCACCGGCUAACUACGUGCCAGCAGCCGCGGUAAUACGUAGGGUGCAAGCGUUAAUCGGAAUUACUGGGCGUAAAGCGUGCGCAGGCGGUUUUGUAAGUCUGAUGUGAAAUCCCCGGGCUCAACCUGGGAAUUGCAUUGGAGACUGCAAGGCUAGAAUCUGGCAGAGGGGGGUAGAAUUCCACGUGUAGCAGUGAAAUGCGUAGAUAUGUGGAGGAACACCGAUGGCGAAGGCAGCCCCCUGGGUCAAGAUUGACGCUCAUGCACGAAAGCGUGGGGAGCAAACAGGAUUAGAAACCCUUGUAGUCCCAU